GGAAGGCAUGUGAACCCAAUCAGUAUCAAGGACAUAUCACGAAAGUUUGGGAUUAUUGAGUCACAUACUUCUUUUCCCACAAUACCUGAACCUGGUGCUGUGCCAUUUUGUCACCACUUGUCUGAGGACGGAGCCAGUAUGGAAGAUGAACCGAGAGACAGAAAAGGCCUGGGUCCUGUUUAAGUCUCUAGGUCAGCUGGGCUCUGUCACUUGCAACUCAAAGGGCUGUACCUGAGGGAAAAAGUAAGGAGGAUGCUGGGAAGCAAAGGAGGCUGAAAGCUGAAAGACCAUUGGAAGUCAAGUUCUUUAAACCAAAACUCCCGGGGUGCCUGGGUGGCUCAGUCGGUAAGGCGUCUGACUUCCGCUCAGGUCAUGGUCUUGCGGUUUGUGAGUUUGAGCCCCGCAUGGCGCUCGGUGGUGACCGCUCAGAGCCUGGAGCCUGCUUCGGAUUCUGUGUCUUCCCCUCUCUCUGCCCCUCCCAUGGUCAUGCUCUG
This is a long non-coding RNA of Neofelis nebulosa (Clouded leopard), 494 nucleotides long. RefSeq lists it as uncharacterized. The transcript is spliced from 4 exons. Lineage: Eukaryota; Metazoa; Chordata; Mammalia; Carnivora; Felidae. The record is from RefSeq and is a predicted model, not a curated record.